This is a long non-coding RNA of Melanotaenia boesemani (Boeseman's rainbowfish), 389 nucleotides long. RefSeq lists it as uncharacterized. The record is from RefSeq and is a predicted model, not a curated record. The transcript has 4 exons. Lineage: Eukaryota; Metazoa; Chordata; Actinopteri; Atheriniformes; Melanotaeniidae.
GCUGAUAACCUGGGUGCCCAUUCUCUUGCAGGAUUCCUGGAAAGCUUUGUUGUUGACAAAUUCUGCAGAUUCUGUUUGGCAAGCAUUAGUGAAGUUCAACAGCAAGAGGUUUUUUCCGAGUUCAGCAGAGUGGUAGGGAGAAAUCUGAGAGACAACUUCUUUGACACACUGGACCAAUUGUCUCCCAGCUUGAUAAGCCUGUUCCGAAAUAAGAGAGGCCUUUCUGGACAGCUCUUGGCAGCACUUUUACAUCAGUCAAAGAUCACUGAACCAACAGACAUUCGGUGCCUUUGCCUACGAGGACUGCUGGUUCUCUUGGGAGAUGAUCCUUCGGUUUUCUUCAAGACUUAUUCUGAUCGUGCUGAUGAAGACGUGUACAAUCAAACUGC